GUUAUAUGGUCAAGUGAAUAAGCGCAUACGGUGGAUGCCUUGGCAGCAGGAGGCGAUGAAGGACGUUGUAGCUUGCGAUAAGCCUCGGGGAGCCAGCAAACAGGCUUUGAUCCGGGGAUUUCCGAAUGGGGAAACCCACCGCUUUGGCGGUAUCGCACACUGAAUACAUAGGUGUGCGAGGCGAACCCGGGGAACUGAAACAUCUAAGUACCCGGAGGAAAAGAAAUCAACCGAGAUUCCCUUAGUAGCGGCGAGCGAACGGGGACUAGCCCUUAAGCUUGGGUGCGGUUAGUGGAACGGUCUGGAAAGUCCGGCCAUAGCGCGUGAUAGCCGCGUACAUUAAAACCCAUCCCAAGUGAAAUCGAGUAGGUCGGGACACGUGUUAUCUUGACUGAAUAUGGGGGGACCAUCCUCCAAGGCUAAAUACUCCCUGCUGACCGAUAGUGAACCAGUACCGUGAGGGAAAGGCGAAAAGAACCCCGGUGAGGGGAGUGAAAUAGAACCUGAAACCGUAUGCGUACAAGCAGUGGGAGCCCCUUCGGGGGUGACUGCGUACCUUUUGUAUAAUGGGUCAGCGACUUACUUUCAGUGGCAAGCUUAACCGUUUAGGGGAGGCGUAGGGAAACCGAGUCUUAAUAGGGCGUUUAGUCGCUGGGAGUAGACCCGAAACCGGGCGAUCUAGCCAUGGCCAGGGUGAAGGUGGGGUAAUACCCACUGGAGGCCCGAACCGGGAUCUGUUGAAAAAGAUUCGGAUGAGCUGUGGCUCGGAGUGAAAGGCUAAUCAAGCCCGGAGAUAGCUGGUUCUCCCCGAAAGCUAUUUAGGUAGCGCCUCGUGUCUCACUCCUGGGGGUAGAGCACUGUUUCGGCUAGGGGGCCAUCCCGGCUUACCAAACCGAUGCAAACUCCGAAUACCAGGAAGUGCAAUCACGGGAGACACACGGCGGGUGCUAACGUCCGUCGUGGAAAGGGAAACAACCCAGACCGCCAGCUAAGGUCCCAAAAUCACAACUAAGUGGGAAACGAUGUGGGAAGGCCCAGACAGCCAGGAGGUUGGCUUAGAAGCAGCCAUUCUUUAAAGAAAGCGUAAUAGCUCACUGGUCGAGUCGGCCCGCGCGGAAGAUUUAACGGGGCUAAGUUGUGUACCGAAGCUGCGGAUGCGUACUUGUACGCAUGGUAGGGGAGCGUUCCGUAGGCCUGCGAAGGUGUGCUGUAAGGCAUGCUGGAGGUAUCGGAAGUGCGAAUGCUGACAUGAGUAACGAUAAUGCGGGUGAAAAGCCCGCACGCCGAAAGCCCAAGGUUUCCUGCGCAACGUUAAUCGGCGCAGGGUGAGUCGGCCCCUAAGGCGAGGCUGAAAAGCGUAGUCGAUGGGAAACAGGUUAAUAUUCCUGUACCUCGCGUUACUGCGAUGGGGGGACGGAGAAGGCUAGAUCAGCCGGGUGUUGGAUGUCCCGGUUUAAACGUGUAGGGAGUGCUCUUAGGCAAAUCCGGGAGCGCAAUCCUGAGACGUGAUGACGAGGACCCAUGUGGUCUGAAGUGAUCGAUGCCCUGCUUCCAGGAAAAUCCUCUAAGCUUCAGGUAACGCAAGACCGUACCCCAAACCGACACAGGUGGGCAGGGUGAGAAUCCCAAGGCGCUUGAGAGAACUCGGGUGAAGGAACUAGGCAAAAUGGUACCGUAACUUCGGGAGAAGGUACGCCUCUGCUGGUGAUGAGACUUGCUCUCUGAGCUGGUGGGGGCCGCAGUGACCAGGUGGCUGCGACUGUUUAUUAAAAACACAGCACUCUGCAAACUCGUAAGAGGAAGUAUAGGGUGUGACGCCUGCCCGGUGCCGGAAGGUUAAUUGAUGGGGUUAGCUUCGGCGAAGCUCUUGAUCGAAGCCCCGGUAAACGGCGGCCGUAACUAUAACGGUCCUAAGGUAGCGAAAUUCCUUGUCGGGUAAGUUCCGACCUGCACGAAUGGCGUAACGAUGGCCACACUGUCUCCACCCGAGACUCAGUGAAAUUGAAAUCGCUGUUAAGAUGCAGUGUACCCGCGGCUAGACGGAAAGACCCCGUGAACCUUUACUACAGCUUUGCACUGGACUUUGAGCCUGCUUGUGUAGGAUAGGUGGGAGGCUUUGAAACCGGGACGCUAGUUCCGGUGGAGCCAACCUUGAAAUACCACCCUGGCAUGCUUGAGGUUCUAACCUAGGCCCGUUAUCCGGGUCGGGGACAGUGUAUGGUGGGUAGUUUGACUGGGGCGGUCUCCUCCCAAAGAGUAACGGAGGAGCACGAAGGUACCCUCAGCGCGGUCGGAAAUCGCGCAUUGAGUGCAAGAGCAUAAGGGUGCUUGACUGCGAGACAGACAUGUCGAGCAGGUACGAAAGUAGGUUCUAGUGAUCCGGUGGUUCUGUAUGGAAGGGCCAUCGCUCAACGGAUAAAAGGUACUCCGGGGAUAACAGGCUGAUACUGCCCAAGAGUCCAUAUCGACGGCAGUGUUUGGCACCUCGAUGUCGGCUCAUCACAUCCUGGGGCUGUAGUCGGUCCCAAGGGUAUGGCUGUUCGCCAUUUAAAGUGGUACGCGAGCUGGGUUUAGAACGUCGUGAGACAGUUCGGUCCCUAUCUGCCGUGGGCGUUAGAGACUUGAGGGGAGCUGCUCCUAGUACGAGAGGACCGGAGUGGACGUACCUCUGGUGUUCCGGUUGUCACGCCAGUGGCAUUGCCGGGUAGCUACGUACGGAAGGGAUAACCGCUGAAAGCAUCUAAGCGGGAAGCCCACCCCAAGAUGAGGUCUCUCUGGAUCCUUGAGAUCCCUAAAGGGCCGUGGAAGACCACCACGUUGAUAGGCUGGGUGUGGAAGUGCAGUAAUGCAUGAAGCUAACCAGUACUAAUUGCCCGUGAGGCUUGACCAUAUAACACCCAAGCAGUU
Molecule: ribosomal RNA, 2907 nt
Filed under: Pseudomonadota bacterium
Lineage: Bacteria; Pseudomonadati; Pseudomonadota
Description: Proteobacteria bacterium 23S ribosomal RNA
Rfam family: Bacterial large subunit ribosomal RNA
Source: RNAcentral